This 1099-nucleotide ribosomal RNA is filed under the name Curtobacterium sp. Its description in RNAcentral is "bacterial SSU rRNA". It matches the Rfam family "Bacterial small subunit ribosomal RNA", at positions 103 to 1206 of the family's 1533-position model. The record is from RNAcentral. Lineage: Bacteria; Bacillati; Actinomycetota; Actinomycetes; Micrococcales; Microbacteriaceae.
CGGGUGAGUAACACGUGAGUAACCUGCCCCUGACUCUGGGAUAAGCGUUGGAAACGACGUCUAAUACUGGAUAUGACCGCCGAUCGCAUGGUCUGGUGGUGGAAAGAUUUUUUGGUUGGGGAUGGACUCGCGGCCUAUCAGCUUGUUGGUGAGGUAAUGGCUCACCAAGGCGACGACGGGUAGCCGGCCUGAGAGGGUGACCGGCCACACUGGGACUGAGACACGGCCCAGACUCCUACGGGGAGGCAGCAGUGGGGAAUAUUGCACAAUGGGCGAAAGCCUGAUGCAGCAACGCCGCGUGAGGGAUGACGGCGUUCGGGUUGUAAACCUCUUUUAGUAGGGAAGAAGCGUAAGUGACGGUACCUGCAGAAAAAGCACCGGCUAACUACGUGCCAGCAGCCGCGGUAAUACGUAGGGUGCAAGCGUUGUCCGGAAUUAUUGGGCGUAAAGAGCUCGUAGGCGGUUUGUCGCGUCUGCUGUGAAAUCCCGAGGCUCAACCUCGGGCUUGCAGUGGGUACGGGCAGACUAGAGUGCGGUAGGGGAGAUUGGAAUUCCUGGUGUAGCGGUGGAAUGCGCAGAAAUCAGGAGGAACACCGAUGGCGAAGGCAGAUCUUCUGGGCCGUAACUGACGCUGAGGAGCGAAAGCGUGGGGAGCGAACAGGAUUAGAUACCCUGGUAGUCCACGCCGUAAACGUUGGGCGCUAGAUGUAAGGACCUUUCCACGGUUUCUGUGUCGUAGCUAACGCAUUAAGCGCCCCCGCCUGGGGGAGUACGGCCGCAAGGCUAAUAACUCAAAGGAAUUGACUGGGGGCCCGGCACAAGCGGCGGAGCAUGCGGAUUUAAUUCGAUUGCAACGCGAAGAACCUUACCAAGGCUUGACAUACACCGGAAACGGCCAGAGAUGGUUGCCCCCUUGUGGUCGGUGUACAGGUGGUGCAUGGUUGUCGUCAGCUCGUGUCGUGAGAUGUUGGGUUAAGUCCCGCAACGAGCGCAACCCUCGUUCUAUGUUGCCAGCGCGUUAUGGCGGGGACUCAUAGGAAACUGCCGGGGUCAACUCGGAGGAAGGUGGGGAUGACGUCAAAUCAUCAUGCCCCUUAUG